This 377-nucleotide ribosomal RNA is filed under the name uncultured bacterium. RNAcentral's name for it is "bacterial SSU rRNA". It matches the Rfam family "Bacterial small subunit ribosomal RNA", at positions 523 to 898 of the family's 1533-position model. The record is from RNAcentral.
AGACGAACCGUCCAAACGUUAUUCGGAAUCACUGGGCUUAAAGGGUGCGUAGGCGGUCCGGGAAGUUGGGUGUGAAAGCCCUCGGCUCAACCGAGGAAUUGCGUCCAAAACUGCCGGACUUGAGGGAGACAUAGGUGAGCGGAACCUAGGGUGGAGCGGUGAAAUGCGUUGAGAUCCUAGGGAACACCAGUAGCGAAAGCGGCUCACUGGGUCUCUUCUGACGCUGAUGCACGAAAGCUAGGGGAGCGAAGAGGAUUAGAUACCCUCGUAGUCCUAGCCGUAAACGAUGAGCACUGGUUUGGAGGGUCCUCCAUAGCCUUCCAGACGUAGCGAAAGUGUUAAGUGCUCCGCCUGGGGAGUAUGGUCGCAAGGCUGAA